GAUGAACGCUGGCGGCGUGCCUAAUACAUGCAAGUCGAGCGAACGGACGAGAAGCUUGCUUUUCUGAUGUUAGCGGCGGACGGGUGAGUAACACGUGGAUAACCUACCUAUAAGACUGGGAUAACUUCGGGAAACCGGAGCUAAUACCGGAUAAUAUUUUGAACCGCAUGGUUCAAAAGUGAAAGACGGUCUUGCUGUCACUUAUAGAUGGAUCCGCGCUGCAUUAGCUAGUUGGUAAGGUAACGGCUUACCAAGGCAACGAUGCAUAGCCGUCCUGAGAGGGUGAUCGGCCACACUGGAACUGAGACACGGUCCAGACUCCUACGGGAGGCAGCAGUAGGGAAUCUUCCGCAAUGGGCGAAAGCCUGACGGAGCAACGCCGCGUGAGUGAUGAAGGUCUUCGGAUCGUAAAACUCUGUUAUUAGGGAAGAACAUAUGUGUAAGUAACUGUGCACAUCUUGACGGUACCUAAUCAGAAAGCCACGGCUAACUACGUG
This 497-nucleotide ribosomal RNA is filed under the name uncultured bacterium. Its description in RNAcentral is "partial 16S ribosomal RNA". It matches the Rfam family "Bacterial small subunit ribosomal RNA", at positions 28 to 507 of the family's 1533-position model. The record is from RNAcentral.